GAUGAACGCUGGCGGCGUGCCUAAUACAUGCGAGUCGAGCGAACGGACGAGAAGCUUGCUUCUCUGAUGUUAGCGGCGGACGGGUGAGUAACACGUGGAUAACCUACCUAUAAGACUGGGAUAACUUCGGGAAACCGGAGCUAAUACCGGAUGAUAUUUUGAACCGCAUGGUUCAAAAGUGAAAGACGGUCUUGCUGUCACUUAUAGAUGGAUCCGCGCUGCAUUAGCUAGUUGGUAAGGUAACGGCUUACCAAGGCAACGAUGCAUAGCCGACCUGAGAGGGUGAUCGGCCACACUGGAGCUGAGACACGGUCCAGACUCCUACGGGAGGCAGCAGUAGGGAAUCUUCCGCAAUGGGCGAAAGCCUGACGGAGCAACGCCGCGUGAGUGAUGAAGGUCUUCGGAUCGUAAAACUCUGUUAUUAGGGAAGAACAUAUGUGUAAGUAACUGUGCACAUCUUGGCGGUACCUAAUCAGAAAGCCACGGCUAACUACGUG
This 497-nucleotide ribosomal RNA is filed under the name uncultured bacterium. Its description in RNAcentral is "partial 16S ribosomal RNA". It matches the Rfam family "Bacterial small subunit ribosomal RNA", at positions 28 to 507 of the family's 1533-position model. The record is from RNAcentral.